Molecule: non-coding RNA, 71 nt
Organism: Potamilus streckersoni
Lineage: Eukaryota; Metazoa; Mollusca; Bivalvia; Unionida; Unionidae
Source: the annotation of a GenBank genome assembly
UACUUAAUCUAAUGGUUAGAGCGUCCGCCUCGGAUGCGGGAGGUCGUGGGUUCGAUCCCCGGUCGAGUCAU